RNAcentral lists this ribosomal RNA (607 nucleotides) under Mycocepurus smithi symbiont S60. RNAcentral describes it as "eukaryotic LSU rRNA". It matches the Rfam family "Eukaryotic large subunit ribosomal RNA", at positions 52 to 642 of the family's 3401-position model. Lineage: Eukaryota; Fungi; Basidiomycota; Agaricomycetes; Agaricales; Agaricaceae. The record is from RNAcentral.
GGAGGAAAAGAACUAACAAGGAUUCCCCUAGUAACUGCGAGUGAAGCGGGAAAAGCUCAAAUUUAAAAUCUGGCAGUCUAUAGCUGUCCGAGUUGUAAUCUAGAGAAGUAAUGCCCGCACUGGACCGUGUACAAGUCUCCUGGGAUGGAGCGUCAUAGAGGGUGAGAAUCCCGUCUCUGACACGGACUACCAGGGUUUUGUGGUAUGCUCUCAAAGAGUCGAGUUGUUUGGGAAUGCAGCUCAAAAUGGGUGGUAAAUUCCAUCUAAAGCUAAAUAUUGGCGAGAGACCGAUAGCGAACAAGUACCGUGAGGGAAAGAUGAAAAGAACUUUGGAAAGAGAGUUAAACAGUACGUGAAAUUGCUGAAAGGGAAACGCUUGAAGUCAGUCACGUUGGCCAGGAAUCAGCCUUGCGUCUUUGCCUGGUGUAUUUCCUGGUUGAUGGGUCAGCAUCAAUUUUGACUGCUGGAAAAAGGCUUGAGGAAUGUGGCAGCUCUGGCUGUGUUAUAGCUUCAUGUCACAUACAGCAGUUGGGAUUGAGGAAUUCAGCAUGCCGCAAGGCCGGGUUUAGACCACGUUCAUGCUUAGGAUGCUGGCAUAAUGGCUUUA